GUUCUAAAACUGAAAGACUGCUACUAUAUGCCGAAGAUAAUUAAAAAUAUAAUAUUUGUACUUUUGUUAUUAAGACAAAAUUUUGAAAUAAAUGUAAAGGGCAAUAGUUGCUCUAUUAUUCAUUCUAAUAAAAUCUUUAGCAUUGGUUUUAUUGAAAAUGAUCUUCUACUUUUGUCACUUAAUGAUGAAAUUUUUCAUAUUAAUAUGAAUAUG
RNAcentral lists this long non-coding RNA (213 nucleotides) under Elaeis guineensis (African oil palm). Its description in RNAcentral is "long non-coding RNA (EGUI_LNC068886)". The record is from RNAcentral. Lineage: Eukaryota; Viridiplantae; Streptophyta; Magnoliopsida; Arecales; Arecaceae.